GUAUUCGCUUUGACAGCACAUAUACUAAAAUUGGAACGAUACGAAUAUUAGCAUGGGCUUUGCAUAAGGAUGACACACAAAUUCAUGAAAUGUUCCAUAUUUUG
Pteropus vampyrus (large flying fox) is the source of this 104-nucleotide small nuclear RNA. The record is from Ensembl. NCBI's taxonomy places the organism in Eukaryota, Metazoa, Chordata, Mammalia, Chiroptera, Pteropodidae.